RNAcentral lists this unclassified non-coding RNA (425 nucleotides) under soil metagenome. RNAcentral's name for it is "partial contains 5.8S ribosomal RNA, internal transcribed spacer 2, and large subunit ribosomal RNA". The stretch from base 1 to 120 matches the Rfam family "5.8S ribosomal RNA", at positions 35 to 154 of the family's 154-position model. The record is from RNAcentral.
GAUGAAGAACGUAGCGAAAUGCGAUAAGUAGUGUGAAUUGCAGAAUUCCGUGAAUCAUCGAAUCUUUGAACGCACAUUGCGCCUUCUGGUAUUCCGGAAGGCAUGCCUGUUCGAGAGUCAUUAACAACCGUUUCGAUCCCUUUCUUUCAGAAAUUACAAAGAGGAAAAGGGUUUGGUUAUGGUGGAGGAGGGAAAGGGAGCGUUUAGCCUGUAAAAAAAGAGGCUGUGUUCCGCCUCCCCCCCGAAAUUGUACAGGCGGUCGUGUGCGCCCACGCAUCGAGGUGUUGUAAAAGCUGCCACGGCACUUUUCACGUGUGCAGUGCGAGAUUGGCCAGCCGGUUUAAAAACCCCUCCAAACAAUCAAUGGUUGACCUCGGAUCAGGUAGGGAUACCCGCUGAACUUAAGCAUAUCAAUAAGCGGAGGA